CGUACACUCCUGCGGGAGGCAGCAGUGAGGAAUAUUGGACAAUGGGUGGAAGCCUGAUCCAGCCAUCCCGCGUGCAGGAAGACGGCCCUAUGGGUUGUAAACUGCUUUUAUCUGGGGAUAAACCUACUUACGUGUAAGUAGCUGAAGGUACCAGAAGAAUAAGCACCGGCUAGCUCCGUGCCAGCAGCCGCGGUAAUACGGAGGGUGCAAGCGUUAUCUGGAUUUAUUGGGUUUAAAGGGUCCGUAGGCGGACUGAUAAGUCAGUGGUGAAAUCCGACAGCUUAACUGUCGAACUGCCAUUGAUACUGUUAGUCUUGAGUAAGGUUGAAGUGGCUGGAAUAAGUAGUGUAGCGGUGAAAUGCAUAGAUAUUACUUAGAACACCAAUUGCGAAGGCAGGUCACUAAGUCUUAACUGACGCUGAUGGACGAAAGCGUGGGGAGCGAACAGGAUUAGAAACCCGAGUAGUCCCA
This 471-nucleotide ribosomal RNA is filed under the name uncultured organism. Its description in RNAcentral is "partial 16S ribosomal RNA". It matches the Rfam family "Bacterial small subunit ribosomal RNA", at positions 330 to 797 of the family's 1533-position model. The record is from RNAcentral.